GAUCCUGGCUCGGGAUGAACGCUAGCUACAGGCUUAACACAUGCAAGUCGAGGGGCAGCAUGGUCUUAGCUUGCUAAGUUUGAUGGCGACCGGCGCACGGGUGAGUAACGCGUAUCCAACCUACCCUUGUCCAUCGGAUAACCCGUCGAAAGGCGGCCUAACACGAUAUGCGGUUCACCGCAGGCAUCUAACGUGAACGAAAUGUGAAGGAGAAGGAUGGGGAUGCGUCUGAUUAG
RNAcentral lists this ribosomal RNA (236 nucleotides) under uncultured bacterium. RNAcentral's name for it is "partial 16S ribosomal RNA". It matches the Rfam family "Bacterial small subunit ribosomal RNA", at positions 15 to 244 of the family's 1533-position model. The record is from RNAcentral.